AUUGAACGCUGGCGGCAGGCCUAACACAUGCCAGUCGAACGGUAACAGGAAGCAGCUUGCUGCUUUGCUGACGAGUGGCGGACGGGUGAGUAAUGUCUGGGAAACUGCCCGAUGGAGGGGGAUAACUACUGGAAACGGUAGCUACUACCGCAUAACGUCGCAAGACCAAAGAGGGGGACCUUAGGGCCUCUUGCCAUCGGAUGUGCCCAGAUGGGAUUAGCUAGUAGGUGGGGUAACGGCUCACCUAGGCGACGAUCCCUAGCUGGUCUGAGAGGAUGACCAGCCACACUGGAACUGAGACACGGUCCAGACUCCUACGGGAGGCAGCAGUGGGGAAUAUUGCACAAUGGGCGCAAGCCUGAUGCAGCCAUGCCGCGUGUAUGAAGAAGGCCUUCGGGUUGUAAAGUACUUUCAGCGGGGAGGAAGGGAGUAAAGUUAAUACCUUUGCUCAUUGACGUUACCCGCAGAAGAAGCACCGGCUAACUCCGUG
RNAcentral lists this ribosomal RNA (490 nucleotides) under uncultured bacterium. RNAcentral describes it as "partial 16S ribosomal RNA". It matches the Rfam family "Bacterial small subunit ribosomal RNA", at positions 30 to 507 of the family's 1533-position model. The record is from RNAcentral.